Molecule: ribosomal RNA, 317 nt
Filed under: Triticum aestivum (bread wheat)
Lineage: Eukaryota; Viridiplantae; Streptophyta; Magnoliopsida; Poales; Poaceae
Description: partial small subunit ribosomal RNA
Source: RNAcentral
GGAAAUCAACUUUUUUGUAUGUUCAUCCAUAGAUCCUUUACUCAUAAUUUCAAAAUUGGAAUACUUAAUCCAAUGCAAAAUUAUGCUUCGCGACUCUGUACUCAUAAUCCAAUUUUUAUUUUGGAUGCAAUUUAAAUUAGUCUUUGGAUACAAAUCGCCAGAAUGUAUAUUCUUCCUCAAUAUGCUAUUGAGAGGAAAAGGAUUUAAUCCUUUAUAGGAACUAAAGUUUUCAUCGGAAUAUAAAAAUAAAAAACUUAAGGAUGCCUUAAGUAUAUCAUUUCAAAUUUAGUUAUUAAUAGAACGAAUCACACUUUUAC